This 2238-nucleotide ribosomal RNA is filed under the name Enterobacter asburiae. RNAcentral's name for it is "partial 23S ribosomal RNA". It matches the Rfam family "Bacterial large subunit ribosomal RNA", at positions 609 to 2834 of the family's 2925-position model. The record is from RNAcentral. Lineage: Bacteria; Pseudomonadati; Pseudomonadota; Gammaproteobacteria; Enterobacterales; Enterobacteriaceae.
UGUAUAAUGGGUCAGCGACUUAUAUUCUGUAGCAAGGUUAACCGUAUAGGGGAGCCGAAGGGAAACCGAGUCUUAACUGGGCGUUAAGUUGCAGGGUAUAGACCCGAAACCCGGUGAUCUAGCCAUGGGCAGGUUGAAGGUUGGGUAACACUAACUGGAGGACCGAACCGACUAAUGUUGAAAAAUUAGCGGAUGACUUGUGGCUGGGGGUGAAAGGCCAAUCAAACCGGGAGAUAGCUGGUUCUCCCCGAAAGCUAUUUAGGUAGCGCCUCGUGAACUCAUCUUCGGGGGUAGAGCACUGUUUCGGCUAGGGGGCCAUCCCGGCUUACCAACCCGAUGCAAACUACGAAUACCGAAGAAUGUUAUCACGGGAGACACACGGCGGGUGCUAACGUCCGUCGUGAAGAGGGAAACAACCCAGACCGCCAGCUAAGGUCCCAAAGUCAUGGUUAAGUGGGAAACGAUGUGGGAAGGCACAGACAGCCAGGAUGUUGGCUUAGAAGCAGCCAUCAUUUAAAGAAAGCGUAAUAGCUCACUGGUCGAGUCGGCCUGCGCGGAAGAUGUAACGGGGCUAAACCAUGCACCGAAGCUGCGGCAGCGACGCUUAGGCGUUGUUGGGUAGGGGAGCGUUCUGUAAGCCGUUGAAGGUGUCCUGUGAGGGGUGCUGGAGGUAUCAGAAGUGCGAAUGCUGACAUAAGUAACGAUAAAGCGGGUGAAAAGCCCGCUCGCCGGAAGACCAAGGGUUCCUGUCCAACGUUAAUCGGGGCAGGGUGAGUCGACCCCUAAGGCGAGGCCGAAAGGCGUAGUCGAUGGGAAACAGGUUAAUAUUCCUGUACUUGGUGUUACUGCGAAGGGGGGACGGAGAAGGCUAUGUUAGCCGGGCGACGGUUGUCCCGGUUUAAGCAUGUAGGCGGAGGUUCCAGGUAAAUCCGGUACCUUUUAACGCUGAGGUGUGAUGACGAGGCACUACGGUGCUGAAGUAACAAAUGCCCUGCUUCCAGGAAAAGCCUCUAAGCAUCAGGUAACACGAAAUCGUACCCCAAACCGACACAGGUGGUCAGGUAGAGAAUACCAAGGCGCUUGAGAGAACUCGGGUGAAGGAACUAGGCAAAAUGGUGCCGUAACUUCGGGAGAAGGCACGCUGAUAUGUAGGUGAAGCCCCUGCGGGUGGAGCUGAAAUCAGUCGAAGAUACCAGCUGGCUGCAACUGUUUAUUAAAAACACAGCACUGUGCAAACACGAAAGUGGACGUAUACGGUGUGACGCCUGCCCGGUGCCGGAAGGUUAAUUGAUGGGGUUAGCGGCAACGCGAAGCUCUUGAUCGAAGCCCCGGUAAACGGCGGCCGUAACUAUAACGGUCCUAAGGUAGCGAAAUUCCUUGUCGGGUAAGUUCCGACCUGCACGAAUGGCGUAAUGAUGGCCAGGCUGUCUCCACCCGAGACUCAGUGAAAUUGAACUCGCUGUGAAGAUGCAGUGUACCCGCGGCAAGACGGAAAGACCCCGUGAACCUUUACUAUAGCUUGACACUGAACACUGGUCCUUGAUGUGUAGGAUAGGUGGGAGGCUUUGAAGCGUGGACGCCAGUCUGCGUGGAGCCAACCUUGAAAUACCACCCUUUAAUGGCUGGUGUUCUAACGUAGACCCGUGAUCCGGGUUGCGGACAGUGUCUGGUGGGUAGUUUGACUGGGGCGGUCUCCUCCCAAAGAGUAACGGAGGAGCACGAAGGUUAGCUAAUCCUGGUCGGACAUCAGGAGGUUAGUGCAAUGGCAUAAGCUAGCUUGACUGCGAGAGUGACGGCUCGAGCAGGUGCGAAAGCAGGUCAUAGUGAUCCGGUGGUUCUGAAUGGAAGGGCCAUCGCUCAACGGAUAAAAGGUACUCCGGGGAUAACAGGCUGAUACCGCCCAAGAGUUCAUAUCGACGGCGGUGUUUGGCACCUCGAUGUCGGCUCAUCACAUCCUGGGGCUGAAGUAGGUCCCAAGGGUAUGGCUGUUCGCCAUUUAAAGUGGUACGCGAGCUGGGUUUAGAACGUCGUGAGACAGUUCGGUCCCUAUCUGCCGUGGGCGCUGGAGAAUUGAGGGGGGCUGCUCCUAGUACGAGAGGACCGGAGUGGACGCAUCACUGGUGUUCGGGUUGUCAUGCCAAUGGCACUGCCCGGUAGCUAAAUGCGGAAAAGAUAAGUGCUGAAAGCAUCUAAGCACGAAACUUGCCCCGAGAUGAGUUCUCCCUGACCCUUUAAGGG